GGGGAUGCCAGGCAUCGAUAAUAAGACAUUUUUUGUAAUACUCAAAACAUGGUGGGCCUACCCAUGUCAAACCAGCCUAAAACAUAAGUGGAAAAAACACUUUAAGCAAAGCUGCCUUCUCUUGGAAGGUUCCAGCUUUUGCUCCCGUUGUCGCUUAACAAUAACCGACAGCCAUCGGACCAGUGAGGCUUCAUAGCUGUCAUCCGGUGUCAUUACUGAAGCUAGGUCUAGGGGUUGCCCUAGUUCUUAGACCGAAAGAUUUAGGGCUAGCCAAAGCCGAUUUUGUUUAGUUUUUACGGUAUUUAGCGAAAUUUCAAACUAGACUAAUUUUGUACAAGUAUUACCGAAAACUUAUUAGACAUGGGUUCAACUCCCAUCAUCUCCACUA
This 388-nucleotide transfer-messenger RNA is filed under the name Patescibacteria group. RNAcentral describes it as "CG1-02-41-21 sp002778645 Standard tmRNA". It matches the Rfam family "transfer-messenger RNA". Rfam says of the family: Bacterial tmRNA, also known as 10Sa RNA or SsrA, is named for its dual tRNA and mRNA-like properties. Its role is to liberate the mRNA from a stalled ribosome. To accomplish this part of the tmRNA is used as a reading frame that ends in a translation stop signal. The record is from RNAcentral. RNAcentral also lists the same sequence under 1 other name.